GGCCUCCAUCUUGAAAACGGAAAAUAAAAACAGCAGACCUAUGAAGGUCGAAGGGGAAGAAAAGCUGUAUCGAUUGUUGAGAUCUGGCGACUUGUUUAAAUUUCAUCAGCCUCACUUCUAUGAACUCUCAGGGUCCUCGUAAGAACUUCCAUUUUAUGUUCUUGUCUUCUCAUCAGUUUGAGUUGUGUCUUUAACAUUGGAGAGAAAAACAACUUGCAAGAUUUUCUUUCAGUAUGAACCAUUCUGAGGUCCUUCAAUUCUUUAGCUGAUUACCAACUCCUACCACUGUUAACCCUCAUCCAGGAACAAGCUUAUGUCUUUAACAUUCUGAGUGGGCUUCAGCAUCCUUGCAUAUGUUCAAUUCUUAAAAACCUGUUGAAAUAAAAGAUCAGGAGACAUAGGAAGGAUGCCAGAAGAGAGCGUGGCCUCACGUGUACCAGCUCUCUGCUCUCCUUUGCCUUGGGACGUUCCAUCCCUGGAAGUUUCCCUGCCCACAUCUUUGUAGAGAGUCCAUUCUCCAAGCUUCAGUGUGUCAUCUGUGAGGACCGUGACCCACCUGGUACAUCGCCUCAGGGCAUUCAUUUCAGGCUCCUUCUAAAUGGCCAAGUCUUCUGCCAGCCUAACAAGCAUAGCAAGAAGAUAUAGCCCCACAACCACUUUAUGCACAAAGUUAGAAGCAUAAAAUCUCAUGGAAGGAGACCGAUUAUCUACAGAAGAGGUUGUCUUGCCAUUUCUCUCAUGUUAGAGGUAAACCUCAGGUUCUCCUCCUGCCUUUUGCUAAGUAUAUGUCUUGAUGACAAGCCUUCUGCUGAUGAGCUGUGUUUCUGGACCGAUCAUGGUAGAAGUCAAUUAACGUGUCCCUCACUUGGGGUUUCUCAAGGCUGCACUGAUGAGGAAACUGAAACAGAAAAUCCAGAGUAAAUUCCACCAGGCCACACAGCAAGGUCUGAUAGAGCCAGGAGAGACUUUAUGAAAUCCAGACUCUCACACUAAUGCUCUAUCAGCUAGACCUCCAUGUGAGUCUCCCCAAUGUAGGUAGGAAGUGCUUUCCCUAAAAUGCUCAUAAAGCAAAUCAGAGCAAUGCUGCAUUCCAUGUGAUUUCUAAUUUGAAAUGCAAACAAUUGCCAAUUUGUUUGACUUGUAUUUAUAAUUAUUUCCUUGUGAAUUACUCAUCACUAAAUGCUUUAUAAAUAUUUUCUCUUUUUUUCCUCAAUGUCUAUGGAAUGAUCACAGCAUAGAAAAUGUUGGCUUUCAAGGAUUUAUUAAUAUCUCCUUUUGAAAUAACAUGUAUUUGUAAGACAGAAUAAAAUCACUUUAAAGAAACAAA
This 1327-nucleotide long non-coding RNA is filed under the name Homo sapiens (human). Its description in RNAcentral is "testis expressed 41". Lineage: Eukaryota; Metazoa; Chordata; Mammalia; Primates; Hominidae. The record is from RNAcentral.